CAAUUCUCCUGUCUCAUCAUCCCAAAGUGCCAGGAUUACAGAGCACAUGAGCCUGCAAGGCCCAGAUCAACACCUGACUCAGACAGAACACCAGGGCAGUGCACAGCUGGGAUUUCAGUCUCUGCUCUCAGCUCCCAGGUCCACUGGCUCUACUGAGGGCACCUACACUCUGCAGCCAGGCGGCCUGGAUUGAACGCCCUGCCCAGGACCCACACACAGGCACUGCAGCAGCGACAGGAGGAGGGGGCGCUGGGAACAGGAAGGACACCACCGCUUGGCCUCCGGCACCGGAGGGACAACCUGGAGGGCUCCGGGAGCACCGCAAAGGUCCAAGCGGAGCCAAUCCUCACAAGCCCAGGGAAGGGCAACGUGACAGGCCGGCGGGACAGCCCCACCGCCGCGAAGAGGGGCUGCCCAAAAGGCAACAGCCAUAGGAGAUGAGCAGGGGUGCCUGCUGCGUCGGAGAACUCAUCUCCCCAACCCCACCGACGCCACAAGGUAGAGGGCGAGGACAGCGAGGUCGGCCGGAUUCCGCACCCCUGCCUCCAACCACCGCCCAUGGGCGGGGAGGAGAGACUACCGACCGCAAGCGGAACGCAGAACGAGAAGAGCCGUCCCGUUAGCCAUGAAUGUGUCCCUCAUCUGUACCGCCUCCGGCCCCGCCCGGGAGAACGCGACGUCACCACAUCCAUCACUUGUUCUCUUUCACUCUUCCCGUUCUUUCCUUUUCCCAGUAUAUUUAUAUAGUAAUUAUGUUUAAUUCAGCCACUCCUUGUUUUUUUCCGUGACUCAUCUUCUCAUAUGUCAACUUGACUACUUUUCACUUGCUUCGUAGUAUUUGUUCUUCCUCAAGUUAAUACUUGCCUUUGUUUUUGUUUAUGUUCUAGAUAACUCUCAUUAAUUUAACUUUGAUAUCUGUUCCAUUUCUGUGACUCUGUUAAGAAAUUAGAGACUUUGAACUUUCUAUUAAUUUUACUUUCUUGGAAAUGUCCCUCUUGGGCCCUUCUGGCUGCUCCCAUCUGGACUGGAGGCUUCUACCUGUGGGACAGAGUCACCUUCCUAGGAUCUCCCUCCACCACCAUCUGGGGCGGUGCUUUACAUGCAGUGGAGCCACCUGGGGUCCUGACAAAUGCAGACUGAUCAACCUGUCAAGGCUGGGCCUGUGAGCCUUUCUGUCCAGUUUCAUGAGAUGCUGGUUCUGCUGGUUCAUGGAUAAUAGCUGGGGUAGCAAGGAUCUCUCUUUUUGUCUCACAGUUUUCUGCAUCUCUUUUUCAUAGUAAGCACAUGCUAAUAUAUUUUCAAUAAAUUCAUGUGCUCUUUUCCUAAGUUGGUAUCAGAGCUAAUUAUUUUUUUCAUUGCGCCAAAAUCCAUAUUAUAUAAAAUUUGGUAUCGUAACAAUUUUUAAGUAUAGAGUACUAUAAUAUGAACUGUAGCACAUUGUUAUGCAACAGAUCUCUAGAACUUUUCAUCUUGCAAAACUGAAACUCUACGCUGAAAAUCUCCUCAAGAAUCCCCCCAGCCUAACCACUGGCAGCCGCCAUUCUACUUUCAGGUUCUAAGAGUUUAGACGCCGCAUAUAACGAAUUGCGCAGUAUUGGAAUUUCCUUGUGAUUGGCUUAUUACACUUAGCAUUGUUCUCCAGGUUCAUCCAUGUUGCAGCAUGUAACAGAAUUUCCUUCUUUUUAAGGUUGAAUCAUAUUCCAUUGCCUACAUAGACCACAUGUUCUUCAUCUAUUCAUGUGUUGAUGGGUGCUUUGUUUGCUUCCUUGUCUUGGCUAUGCACCUUCCAGGAACGUGAGAAGGAGACAGUUUUCGCUACAGUUGAUUAAGGGAGAGCCCGCUAGGCUGGGCAGGAGGAUUUUUACCGGGAACCUGUGCGAUGAGCUGUGACAUCCUUCUCCCCACCUUCAAUCUCAGCCCCAGCAGGCACCUCCUGGGCGCAGAAGCAGUGCAGCGGCGCCACCUGGCGGUCUGCACUCUUCCUUUCCCAGAUCAAGCACAGCCCUGAAAUCCACCUGUCCCUCCUCUGUGCCUGUGAUUUCUUCAGGGGACACCAGCGUGGGUCAACUUUCUUGUAAAGCAGAACAAGCGUGAGAUUGGACCAUGUUACAGGAGGAAUGGUGUCAUCUCUACCUGUGGAGAGAUCCCUGUCACCGUGUUCAGGGGA
RNAcentral lists this long non-coding RNA (2167 nucleotides) under Homo sapiens (human). RNAcentral describes it as "HSALNT0333569". Lineage: Eukaryota; Metazoa; Chordata; Mammalia; Primates; Hominidae. The record is from RNAcentral.